Molecule: long non-coding RNA, 309 nt
Organism: Manis pentadactyla (Chinese pangolin)
Lineage: Eukaryota; Metazoa; Chordata; Mammalia; Pholidota; Manidae
Exons: 3
Source: RefSeq, a predicted model, not a curated record
ACUCCCAGUUGCUGGAGCCCCUGAGAUACCCAAGGCCCUACCACAGAGAGGCCUACUGUAAAGGUUCCCGACGUCCACCCCCACAACCAGGAAGCAGACCCCAAAGGCCCCCUCCUACCCCAGGUGGACGUCAGAAGCUCAAGAAGAUGGGGCCCUGAGGAGCGUCAGACCACAAGCUCACUGGGCAGGACCGUCAAACAGCCCCAGCAAUCAAUGUGAAAUGACAAAUGGCAGGAGACUGUAAAGACAGCUGGUGUAGCCCUACCUCUGGUGCAGCCUGGGCAGAGCGGACACUGCGGAGGCGGACGG